This 468-nucleotide ribosomal RNA is filed under the name uncultured bacterium. RNAcentral describes it as "partial 16S ribosomal RNA". It matches the Rfam family "Bacterial small subunit ribosomal RNA", at positions 28 to 507 of the family's 1533-position model. The record is from RNAcentral.
GACGAACGCUGGCGGCGUGCUUAACACAUGCAAGUCGAACGGAAAGACCCUGCUUUUGUGGGGUGCUCGAGUGGCGAACGGGUGAGUAACACGUGAGUAACCUGCCCUUGACUUUGGGAUAACUUCAGGAAACUGGGGCUAAUACCGGAUAGGAGCUCCUGCUGCAUGGUGGGGGUUGGAAAGUUUCGGCGGUUGGGGAUGGACUCGCGGCUUAUCAGCUAGUUGGUGGGGUAGUGGCUUACCAAGGCUUUGACGGGUAGCCGGCCUGAGAGGGUGACCGGCCACAUUGGGACUGAGAUACGGCCCAGACUCCUACGGGAGGCAGCAGUGGGGAAUAUUGCACAAUGGGCGGAAGCCUGAUGCAGCAACGCCGCGUGCGGGAUGACGGCCUUCGGGUUGUAAACCGCUUUCGCCUGUGACGAAGCGUGAGUGACGGUAAUGGGUAAAGAAGCACCGGCUAACUACGUG